ACACUAAUUCAUCUCGAAUGCUUCAAACAUACUCCUCUCAAAAUAUUUCAAAAACUACAAACAACCUUCAACCUCAUUGAUCUUCAAGCUUAGAUUGCUCCUUCUAAAGAUCGUUAUUCAAGACCCAAACAACAAAGGAGGAACAAUCUUGAAGCUUUAAUGGAGAUUUGAUGGAACUUCAAGUGCUCUAAUUAUAUGUUUGUAGCGUGUGAGCAAACUUUUGUAAUGUGAAACCUUGUGUGGUGUAUGGUGAUGUGGGUACGAGCCCUCUAUAUGUCUUCACUGACGUGUUUAGCAAGGUGCCUAUAACAUCAGAAAUCGAUGUUCUGGUGGCAUUGUCUGUUAUACUGUAUACAAUAACUCUUGUACCCUUACGAAAUAUGUAUUUGUAGUGCUUAAAGCUAAUGACAAUGGUGAAGGUACGAGAUUUUCCAACUUUCUUUCUGACUUGUUUGUUUUGUCAAUAGUUAUUUCAUGUCUACAAAUAAUUGGCAAUUAUUGGCUGCAGGAGGGACAUUGGCACUAUAUUUACUUAUAAGCAGAGGGCAGUUGGAAGCUGAGACUUGAGCUUCUUACGGAUUUGAAAGCCUGUAGAAAUAGGGAUUGGUUAUCUACUGGACAUAGCUGAUUAAUACUUUUACAUGUUAGAUGCAUUGUGACUCGUACAUACAUUUAUGAUCUAUGGAAGCUGUUAUGCAGUGUAAAACUAGCAAUUUAUAUCACAACUCCCAAAGAUGGGUUCUUAGAA
Long non-coding RNA from Beta vulgaris subsp. vulgaris (sugar beet), 748 nucleotides. RefSeq lists it as uncharacterized. NCBI's taxonomy places the organism in Eukaryota, Viridiplantae, Streptophyta, Magnoliopsida, Caryophyllales, Amaranthaceae. The record is from RefSeq and is a predicted model, not a curated record. The transcript has 3 exons.